RNAcentral lists this ribosomal RNA (590 nucleotides) under uncultured bacterium. RNAcentral's name for it is "bacterial SSU rRNA". It matches the Rfam family "Bacterial small subunit ribosomal RNA", at positions 335 to 916 of the family's 1533-position model. The record is from RNAcentral.
ACUCCUACGGGAGGCAGCAGUGGGGAAUAUUGGACAAUGGGCGCAAGCCUGAUCCAGCCAUACCGCGUGGGUGAAGAAGGCCUUCGGGUUGUAAAGUCCUUUUGUUGGGAAAGAAAUCCAGCUGGCUAAUACCUGGUUGGGAUGACGGUACCCAAAGAAUAAGCACCGGCUAACUUCGUGCCAGCAGCCGCGGUAAUACGAAGGGUGCAAGCGUUACUCGGAAUUACUGGGCGUAAAGCGUGCGUAGGUGGUCGUUUAAGUCCGUUGUGAAAGCCCUGGGCUCAACCUGGGAACUGCAGUGGAUACUGGGCGACUAGAGUGUGGUAGAGGGUAGCGGAAUUCCUGGUGUAGCAGUGAAAUGCGUAGAGAUCAGGAGGAACAUCCAUGGCGAAGGCAGCUACCUGGACCAACACUGACACUGAGGCACGAAAGCGUGGGGAGCAAACAGGAUUAGAUACCCUGGUAGUCCACGCCCUAAACGAUGCGAACUGGAUGUUGGGUGCAAUUUGGCACGCAGUAUCGAAGCUAACGCGUUAAGUUCGCCACCUGGGGAGUACGGUCGCAAGACUGAAACUCAAAGGAAUUGACGG